This is a long non-coding RNA of Cervus elaphus (red deer), 775 nucleotides long. RefSeq lists it as uncharacterized. The record is from RefSeq and is a predicted model, not a curated record. The transcript is spliced from 2 exons. Lineage: Eukaryota; Metazoa; Chordata; Mammalia; Artiodactyla; Cervidae.
CUGCAGGGGAGGAACUGCCAACCCCCACCCGCCAGCAGUGCCCGGCUGGCGGUAAACAGCUUCGUGGGGGCCAGGAGGGAAGCGGGCAAUCUUCAAAGGCAGAAAAGAGAAAUUCAGCCGGAGCCGCAGAAGCGAUGACACAGUGGAGCCGGAUCCCCUAAACUUGGCUGGGAAAGCUGAUAACCAUCCCCAUAACCCCCUGGUUCCCGGAGGGGCGCGCGGUUCCUUCCACCAGCCCCGACCCCGGCAGCCCUGGACCUCAGCUCGGCAGAUGCCCCCCCACCCAGCCGCCGGGACUUUAGCUCCGCGGAUGCCCCCCACCCAGGUCGCUGGGCGCCUGGGCGGGACCUGGUGGGAAAAAACGCGGUGCGCUAGCCCCAGGCGAAGGGCGCGGGCAGCCGGUUAAUCACAGCUCGCCUCGCCUCCAUUAACUUCUGUUGAUAUUAAAAAGAAAUCAAUCAGUGAAAAUGGAGCCUUGGCCGUGACUAUUUCUUUUUCUCCAGUGGAAAAGCAAAGAGCGAGGCGGCGGCGGAGGGGAGGCGGAACUCGCCGGCGACUGCAGAGGAUUCUCCCAGGCCGAAGACCGCAGCGGAGACUUAACUUUCUGGCAGUGGGCAGUGCUGAGGAAAUGCCGCAGCCUGCUCCCUGGGGGUGUCCUUAGAGUGAGGAGGAGGGGACAAAGCUGGAGGAGUUGGAGGCGGCCCACUUAACCGGGCUGGAGCUCCGGUUUUGCUUUCUCUGGGAAUAUUUUUGCCUAAUAGAAUGUUUAUGGAUC